AUUGAACGCUGGCGGCAUGCUUUACACAUGCAAGUCAAACGGCAGCGCGGGCUUCGGCCUGGCGGCGAGUGGCGAACGGGUGAGUAAUACAUCGGAACGUGCCCAGUAGUGGGGGAUAGCUCGGCGAAAGCCGGAUUAAUACCGCAUACGACCUGAGGGUGAAAGCGGGGGAUCUUCGGACCUCGCGCUAUUGGAGCGGCCGAUGGCAGAUUAGCUAGUUGGUGGGGUAAAGGCCUACCAAGGCGACGAUCUGUAGCUGGUCUGAGAGGACGACCAGCCACACUGGAACUGAGACACGGCCCAGACUCCUACGGGAGGCAGCAGUGGGGAAUUUUGGACAAUGGGCGAAAGCCUGAGCCAGCAAUGCCGCGUGUGUGAUGAAGGCCUUCGGGUUGUAAAGCACUUUUGGCGGGAACGAAAAGGACUGUGCCAAUACCACGGUUCGAUGACGGUACCCGCAGAAUAAGCACCGGCUAACUACGUG
Molecule: ribosomal RNA, 484 nt
Filed under: uncultured bacterium
Lineage: Bacteria
Description: partial 16S ribosomal RNA
Rfam family: Bacterial small subunit ribosomal RNA
Source: RNAcentral